Molecule: ribosomal RNA, 253 nt
Filed under: uncultured bacterium
Lineage: Bacteria
Description: partial 16S ribosomal RNA
Rfam family: Bacterial small subunit ribosomal RNA
Source: RNAcentral
GACAGAGGCCUCAAGCGUUAGGCGGAAUCACUGGGCUUAAAGCGCGUGUAGGCGGGCCGCCCCGUCGGCUGCUGAAAUCCCCCGGCUCAACCGGGGAACGGGCACCGAUACGAGCGGCCUGGAGGGGGUAGGGGGGUCUGGAACUUCCGGUGGAGCGGUGAAAUGCGUUGAGAUCGGAAGGAACGCCCGUGGCGAAAGCGAGGCCCUGGACCCUUACUGACGCUGAGACGCGAAAGCCAGGGGAGCGAACGGG